Molecule: ribosomal RNA, 497 nt
Filed under: uncultured bacterium
Lineage: Bacteria
Description: partial 16S ribosomal RNA
Rfam family: Bacterial small subunit ribosomal RNA
Source: RNAcentral
GAUGAACGCUGGCGGCGUGCCUAAUACAUGCAAGUCGAGCGAACAGAUAAGGAGCUUGCUCCUUUGACGUUAGCGGCGGACGGGUGAGUAACACGUGGGUAACCUACCUAUAAGACUGGAAUAACUCCGGGAAACCGGGGCUAAUGCCGGAUAACAUUUAGAACCGCAUGGUUCUAAAGUGAACGAUGGUUUUGCUAUCACUUAUAGAUGGACCCGCGCCGUAUUAGCUAGUUGGUAAGGUAACGGCUUACCAAGGCAACGAUACGUAGCCGACCUGAGAGGGUGAUCGGCCACACUGGAACUGAGACACGGUCCAGACUCCUACGGGAGGCAGCAGUAGGGAAUCUUCCGCAAUGGGCGAAAGCCUGACGGAGCAACGCCGCGUGAGUGAUGAAGGUCUUCGGAUCGUAAAACUCUGUUAUUAGGGAAGAACAAAUGUGUAAGUAACUGUGCACGUCUUGACGGUACCUAAUCAGAAAGCCACGGCUAACUACGUG